GAUGAAGAACGCAGCGAAAUGCGAUAAGUAGUGUGAAUUGCAGAAUUCAGUGAAUCAUCGAAUCUUUGAACGCACAUUACGCCCCUUGGUAUUCCAUGGGGCAUGCCUGUUCGAGCGUCAUUUGUACCUUCAAGCUCUGCUUGGUGUUGGGUGUUUGUCUCGCCUCUGCGUGUAGACUCGCCUCAAAACAAUUGGCAGCCGGCGUAUUGGUUUCGGAGCGCAGUACAUCUCGCGCUUUGCACUCAUAACGACGACGUCCAAAAGUACAUUUUUACACUCUUGACCUCGGAUCAGGUAGGGAUACCCGCUGAACUUAAGCAUAUCAAUAAGCGGAGGA
Molecule: unclassified non-coding RNA, 337 nt
Filed under: soil metagenome
Description: partial contains 5.8S ribosomal RNA, internal transcribed spacer 2, and large subunit ribosomal RNA
Rfam family: 5.8S ribosomal RNA (bases 1-120)
Source: RNAcentral